RNAcentral lists this transfer RNA (81 nucleotides) under Dreissena polymorpha. It matches the Rfam family "tRNA". Rfam says of the family: Transfer RNA (tRNA) molecules are approximately 80 nucleotides in length. The record is from Rfam by way of RNAcentral. Lineage: Eukaryota; Metazoa; Mollusca; Bivalvia; Myida; Dreissenidae.
GUUGUCGUGGUCGAGUGGUUUAGGCGAUAGACAUGAACUCUUUGGGAUCUUCUCGCACAGGUUCGAAUCCUGCCGACAACG